AAUAGAUACCCGGGUAGUCCAUGCCGUAAACGAUGUCUACUAGCCGUUGGGGCCUUUGAGGCUUUAGUGGCGCAGCUAACGCGAUAAGUAGACCGCCUGGGGAAUACGGUCGCAAGACUAAAACUCAAAUGAAUUGACGGGGGCCCGCACAAGCGGUGGAGCAUGUGGUUUAAUUCGAUGCAACGCGAAGAACCUUACCUGGUCUUGACAUAGUAAGAACUUUCCAGAGAUGGAUCGGUGCCUUCGGGAACUUACAUACAGGUGCUGCAUGGCUGUCGUCAGCUCGUGUCGUGAGAUGUUGGGUUAAGUCCCGCAACGAGCGCAACCCUUUUCCUUAUUUGCCAGCGGGUUAAGCCGGGAACUUUAAGGAUGCUGCCAGUGACAAACUGGAGGAAGGCGGGGACACGUCAAGUCAUCAUGGCCCUUAGACCAGGGCUACACACGUGCUACAAUGGUCGGUACAAAGGGUUGCUACCUAGCGAUAGGAUGCUAAUCUCAAAAAGCCGAUCGUAGUCCGGAUUGGAAUCUGCAACUCGACU
Molecule: ribosomal RNA, 539 nt
Filed under: uncultured bacterium
Lineage: Bacteria
Description: bacterial SSU rRNA
Rfam family: Bacterial small subunit ribosomal RNA
Source: RNAcentral